AAUGAACGUUGGCGGCGUGGAUUAGGCAUGCAAGUCGGACGGGCCGCAAGGCCAGUGGCGUAAGGGUGAGUAAGGCGACGGCAAUCGUCCCCACGGUUGGGUAUAGCCGCGAGAAAUCGCGGGUAAUCCCCAGCGACGCAAGAGGUCGGCAUCGACGUCUUGCCAAAGGCUCGCUGCCGUGGGACGAGCCGUCGUGGUAU
RNAcentral lists this ribosomal RNA (200 nucleotides) under uncultured bacterium. RNAcentral's name for it is "partial 16S ribosomal RNA". It matches the Rfam family "Bacterial small subunit ribosomal RNA", at positions 29 to 241 of the family's 1533-position model. The record is from RNAcentral.